UUAGGUAGACCACAUAUUGAUCUUUCAAAUCAUAUUAGAAAAAAAUUUCCAAUUUAGAUGUAUGGAAACAAGUAGUAAGACUGCAACAAUUUUAGAAAUUAUUUCUUCUGAUUUCUGAUUUUUUUUUUUUGAACCCAGGGAUGCUUAAACAAUGAGCCACAUCCCCACCACUUUAUUUUUUAUUUUAAGACAGGGUCUUGCUAAAUUGCUUAGAGCCUUGCUAAAUUGCUGAGGCUGGCUUUGAACUUAAAAUCCUCCUCCUGCUGGGAGGAUCCUGAGCCACUGGGAUUUGAUUUCUGAGUUCUUUAGCCUUUAAGAUUCAGCUCAAAUGUUAUCUCCUCUAUAAAACUUUUCCUGAUUCUGCUAAGCUGUAGUUCACUGGUCCUUCCUAUGUGUACCUGUAGACUUUAUAAAACUUAAAAUGCCGCUAGAACAUAAGAUUAUAUUAUAAUUGCAUCUAAGUCACUUAUUAGACUGUAAAUUCCUAGAGGAUUUACCACUGAGCUACAUCUCCAGCUCUUUGUAUUUUUAAUUUUGAGACAGAUUCUCACUAAAUUGCUGAGAAUCUUGCUAAGUUGCUGAAGCUAUUUCUGAACUUACAAUCCUCCUGCCUCAGCCUCCUGAGUCUCUGGAAUUAUAGGCAUGUACCACUGUGCUUGAUGGGUUUGCAGUUUUAUUUGUGUGUGUACAGUGCCUGGCAUAUAGUGUAUACUCAAUAAGAACUUUGUGGAUUAAUGAACUUAAUCUUUUAAAAAGAAACCCAUAAUUUGGGAUGGGGUUGUAGCUCAGUGGUAGAGUGUUUGCCUCUCAUGUGAAAUACUGGGUUUGAUCCUCAGCACCACAUAAAAAUAAAUAAAUAAAAUGAUAGUAUUGCGUCCAUCUACAACUAAAAAGAUAAAGAAAGAAAGAAAACCACAAUUUUGGUACUGGGGAUUGAACCCAGGGGCACUUUACCACAUUUCUAGCCCUGUUUUGUAUUUUAUUUUGAGACAGGGUCUCACUGAGUUGUUUAGCACCUCACUUUUGUUGAGGCUGGCUUUGAAUUUGUGAUCCUCCUGCCUCAGUCUCCUCAGCCACAGUGCCCAGCCCAAAACCACAAUUUAAAUAAGUAAAUUAGGAUAUGAGUCUUUAUUUUAUAACAUGUUCACUGUACAAAAUAAUUCAGUUUAUAAUUGUUUUAUAUAGCUCAUGUCUUUAGUGCAUUUGAAAUUCAUUCAUUUCAUGGCUUUUUCUUUUCUUUCUGGGAAUACAUUCAUAUUAGUAUCAUUUUUCAUAAAUGUGUAUGCAAACACAUUUACCUUGUCCUCCUUUACUAGGGAUGUUUCUUAUAUUUAAAAAGAAAAAAAUAUAGUUUUGUUACACAUUGGUGAUGUUUUUCCCUCCAAAUAUCUUUCUACAGGAGAACACUAAGUGGUUAUUCAUCUAGUUUUUUUGUUUGUUAUAUUUUAAGCAAUUGGUUCCAAAAUACAUUCAAAUUGCAUGUCCUGUUCCUCAUAAAUUGCUUUCUUUGCUUAAGUUUCUCACUCAGACCACCAGCAAUCUUUUAGGUACUUUUCCUACCUGCUAAUGGUAGCUUUUAUUGAUUUACUUACUGUAACUCUUUUCUUUCUCUUUGAUUCUUUCAUUUAAUAUAUCUCUAUGUCUGCCUGAUACUGUUUUCUUUUCAAGGUUUUUAUGCUUUUAGGAUGAUCUUUCUUGGUCUCUUUUUCUACUGUUUUAGAUGCCUUGAUUCUGUUUCUCCUUAGCAAAGAACUUAAUGGAAGGAGGAAGUGAAUAUUAUAAGGGACUUUUUGAAGAAGAUUUAUAUAGAAUAUUAAAAAGCAUAUAGAUCCUGGUUCUUACUAUGUAACUCGUGUUCCAAAAAACAUUUUUAUAAAUAUUUAGAGCCAUUCUUAGAGACUAUUAAAUGGGAUUUGUUUAAAUUUCGUAGACAAGAGGAAAAAGGGAGCAUUGAGAUUUGGCAAUUGUUAAAUCAAAUUAUGGGUUAAUGGGAGUUUAUUAUUUUCUAUUGUUAUUUUUAUGUAUACUAAAAUUUUUUACAAAGUUUAAAAAAUUAAGAAUAAUUUUUCAGUCCUUUUGACCUAGCAAUCUCAUUUUUUGUAUUUGUCCUCCAGUACAUAAGGGUACACAUAUAAAGAUAUUAAUUACAACAUUAUUUGAAUUGGAAAGGAAAAUAGUCUGGAAACAGUUUGACACAUCUACUCCCAUCACCAAUGGAAUUGCUGGGUAAAUUAUGGUGUAUCCAUCAAUGGAUUAUUUUGUAGUAAUUUAAAAAAUGAACUGAAUUAUAUGCUGUAUUCUGGAGAGGUAUCCAAGAUGUAUUGUUCAGUGGACUGAAUAAUGUGUAUGAUAGAAUUCCACUUUUAUAUUAAAAAACCCUGUGAAUAUGGAAAAAGCUGUGAAAAUAUAUAUACCAAAUUAUCAAUAUUAGUUUUUCUCAGGAAAUUGAGACUCAAAGGGAUAGGGUAGAGGAAAAUUUCUUCUUAUUUAUUAAUCUUUGCAUUGUUGAAUUUGUUUUGAGUAUAUGCUAUUUUGGGGAAAAUGUAAUAAAGAUUUUUUAAAUAUACAUAAAUAAAAUAUUUUAAAAGUGUCAGUUUAUCUAUGAUAAUAAAAUCUCCUUUUUAAAAAUGUAAUGAAAACAUAUACGCAUAGGGAACCAAAUAAUAAAUUAGAUUAUAAGUUGCCUUCAAACAAAAUAAAUGAAUUGAUAAAUAAUGCCUCUGGAAUGUAUAUUGAACUCUGACUAUUCCCAAACUUCCAAUA
Molecule: long non-coding RNA, 2763 nt
Filed under: Marmota monax (woodchuck)
Lineage: Eukaryota; Metazoa; Chordata; Mammalia; Rodentia; Sciuridae
Rfam family: tRNA (bases 775-841)
Source: RNAcentral